GCUAGCUCGGCACCCUAGGAGAAAACCCGACGUGACACCGUGGUUAAUGCGAAAAACGUAGAAGCCGGUUCUUGUGUUGAAGACGGUCCUUGUCCCAUGCCCCAACGCACACAUUAAUUCAAAUCGAUCCCGUGCGGCCGGCGCGGCAAUUUUUCUUUUUGCUCUGUUUCUCCCCCAAUGCAACCAGCAACAGCUCGUCUCGCCCUCCUGGCCGCACCACGCCCUUUCCAUCUCCGUCGGCGGCGCGGCGCAUCUCCGUACUGCAGCCUUCCAAUCUGCAGUUCCGUUGACGUCCCCGGUCCAUCAACGCCGGUCCCCUAGCCAUCUCAGCCGCGGCCAACAACUCCACCCCGGCCAAAUUUCAAUGGAAAGCAGUAGGGAGAAGAAGGCUCCAGGGCAGUACCGUUUGGUUUGGCUGAUCCCAGUCGCUCCUCCGCCAACAAGGGCAUGCAGCUCUAAUCAGGGGGGAAUCAUGGAAAAUAUAUUCCGUUUUGGCAUUGCUUGUGUGUUCUAGAAGAAGCAGCUAAUAACAAAAGAAUGCAAUCUGUCGGUUGGUUCUCUGAAAUCGAUUGUUGCUAGAAGAUGUGCGCAGCAAAUUGUUAAUUUUGUUUGGUGGCUAGUACUUGUAGUACUGAAUUUUUGGGUGAGUUGAGGUCGAGCGUGGUGUGGUUUUGGAGCAGGUUCAGCAGUCACAAGGUAGCUUGUUUCGUCAGUUCAAGUAGCAUGACAAUUUCUGCAUUGCCCAAACUCAACUCAAAAGGGAAUUCAGUUUUGCGUUCAAUUCAUAA
Brachypodium distachyon (stiff brome) is the source of this 788-nucleotide long non-coding RNA. RefSeq lists it as uncharacterized. The record is from RefSeq and is a predicted model, not a curated record. The transcript has 2 exons. Lineage: Eukaryota; Viridiplantae; Streptophyta; Magnoliopsida; Poales; Poaceae.